CAGCCGCCGCGGUAAUACGAAGGGUGCAAGCGUUAAUCGGAAUUACUGGGCGUAAAGCGUGCGUAGGCGGUGAGUUAAGUCUGCUGUGAAAUCCCCGGGCUCAACCUGGGAAUGGCAGUGGAUACUGGCUCGCUAGAGUGUGUCAGAGGAUGGUGGAAUUCCCGGUGUAGCGGUGAAAUGCGUAGAGAUCGGGAGGAACAUCAGUGGCGAAGGCGGCCAUCUGGGACAACACUGACGCUGAGGCACGAAAGCGGGGGAGCAAACAGGAUUAGAUACCCCCGUAGUCCCUGUCUCUUAUACC
This 301-nucleotide ribosomal RNA is filed under the name uncultured bacterium. RNAcentral's name for it is "partial 16S ribosomal RNA". It matches the Rfam family "Bacterial small subunit ribosomal RNA", at positions 509 to 808 of the family's 1533-position model. The record is from RNAcentral.